This 137-nucleotide ribosomal RNA is filed under the name uncultured eukaryote. RNAcentral describes it as "partial 18S ribosomal RNA". It matches the Rfam family "Eukaryotic small subunit ribosomal RNA", at positions 1299 to 1458 of the family's 1831-position model. The record is from RNAcentral.
UGGUGGAGUGAUUUGUCUGCUUAAUUGCGAUAACGAACGAGACCUUAACCUGCUAAAUAGCCCUUAUUGCUCCGGCAGUAAGCUGGCUUCUUAGAGGGACUAUCGGCUCAAGCCGAUGGAAGUUUGAGGCAAUAACA